RNAcentral lists this ribosomal RNA (459 nucleotides) under uncultured bacterium. RNAcentral describes it as "partial 16S ribosomal RNA". It matches the Rfam family "Bacterial small subunit ribosomal RNA", at positions 338 to 795 of the family's 1533-position model. The record is from RNAcentral.
CCUACGGGUGGCAGCAGUGAGGAAUAUUGGUCAAUGGUCGGGAGACUGAACCAGCCAAGCCGCGUGAGGGAUGAAGGUACAGAGUAUCGUAAACCUCUUUUGUCAGGGAACAAAGGCGGGGACGUGUCCCCGGAUGAGUGUACCUGAUGAAAAAGCAUCGGCUAACUCCGUGCCAGCAGCCGCGGUAAUACGGAGGAUGCGAGCGUUAUCCGGAUUUAUUGGGGUAAAGGGGUGCGCAGGGGGCUUGUUAAGUCGGCGGUAAAAGCCCGGGGCUAAACCCGGACCCGCCGUUGAAACUGGCAGUCUCGAGUAGGAGAGAAGUAUGCGGAAUGCGCGGUGUAGCGGUGAAAUGCAUAGAUAUCGCGAAGAACUCCGAUUGCGAAGGCAGCAUGCCGGCUCCACACUGACGCUGAGGCACGAAAGCGUGGGUAUCGAACAGGAUUAGAUACCCUUGUAGUC